Non-coding RNA from Pelobates cultripes (western spadefoot toad), 442 nucleotides. The record is from the annotation of a GenBank genome assembly. Lineage: Eukaryota; Metazoa; Chordata; Amphibia; Anura; Pelobatidae.
CCGAUAUUGGAACAUACCAUUUAGCAAAGGUUUGCCUUCUUACCUGGUUCUCGUCUGCUCUGAAAUAGAAUUUACAACAUUCAGCUUCUGCAUAGGGCCAGAUGUUGGAUGCUAAUUCUGCUGAAGAUUCAUUGGCUGAGAGCAUAAGCUGACUGCUCUCAGCCAAUGAUUUCAUUUAUGUACAUAGAAAAUUGCACAGAAUUGACAUUAGCCAGGCUGGAACUCUAGUUCUAGGCUGGCUAAUGACAGUCCAAUGAACUUGCCGGACGUGUAGUUACACUGGAAACAGACAGGUUAAAUUCCAUAUGUACAGCAUUUCAUAGUAAAACGCUGUACAUUCAGACUCCAGGCACCAUGAGCACUUCAACUUGAAUCAGUCAUGGUUCCUGGAGUAAUCUGUCAUGCUGUGCUAGCCUUUUACCUCUGAAGCUGUAUUCUUAAA